CUUUUCUUUUUUUUAAUUAGGACAAUGCGGGAUUCAAACCUCAAACAUAUAAACCUACCGGCCACCACAUUACCCUAAUAGAGAUCUAAGUUAAAUCUUAAAGAUUCGUGACCAUUGGAUUAUCCAUAUAGUUGUAUCUUAGAUAUACCCUAAAAACUAAACGCUUCUCUGUAUUCCUUUCAGCCGUCGGAACCCCAUAGAACAAAUUCUUGUGUUCAUUUUUUUCUGGUCUGAAAUUUCUUUCUCGAUCAUGAUGGAUUCUUCGACUAACAUCUCUUACCAAUCCGAACAGCAAUCUUAUUGUCUCCAUGAUGAUGGAUUUCAAUCACACAAUGAUUUUUCCUCUCCAAACUCAAGUUUGGUCCUCCUCUGAUUUGUGAUUCUAGAUUUAGCUUCUUCGGGUUCUUGAGCAGGAAUUGAUCCUAUUCUGAAGAAAGAAUUGGUGGAAACCUCAAGACGACAAAGGUGCUCCGCUAAUUCAAUUUCUUCGUAAUUGGCACAUCUGAAGAGCUGUUUAUAGUGAUACUCUAGAAAAUUGUCAAAAAUCUACACCCAAGAAAUUUUCGGAUGUCAGCAACAAGAAGCCUGAGAACAAAUGAUGGAGCAUGGUUACAGAUAGGUGUGGGAACACUGAGCAAUUUUUCCAACCUCUGCAGCAAUGGGGUUAUGAUCCUGACUCGUGAAACUAUACCUUUCAGCAACACUAAGUUACCGGCUGUGUGUGCAUGAAUUUAACUGAGAAAGGGAAUCCAAUUCGAUGCUGUUUCAUGUGGGAUGGUAAAAUGGAACUGCAGUCCGCAUGUGAUCACUGGUAUACUUCUUUAAGAUGGAUUUUGUGAACAACUUGAAUCAGAGGAAGACCACCUGCAUUUUUGUAUUACUAAUGCAGUGGCUUAUUAGGUAUACGUUUCUAUUCUUUGUGCCUAUUGUUUUUAACAAAUUUGAACUGAAAUGAAUGCAAGUAAGUUCAAUUAUGAUUGGUAAUAUUAGUGAUGGGCAUGGCACUCUUGGUUCCAUGUUACUUUCGGAUUCUUUCUUUAUUACACAGUUAGACAUCUUUUCUUUUUUAAACUUUGAUUGUUGAA
Molecule: long non-coding RNA, 1085 nt
Organism: Papaver somniferum (opium poppy)
Lineage: Eukaryota; Viridiplantae; Streptophyta; Magnoliopsida; Ranunculales; Papaveraceae
Exons: 2
Source: RefSeq, a predicted model, not a curated record